GAUUAUCAGAAUUUAUGAAUACAUAAUAAUAUAUUUAUAAUUUGGUGUUCAUAAUUUUGUUGUAUUCACCUGGAGAUUUUGUGCUAGGAACCGAUGUUUGGUGAUGGUAAUCUGCAGAGGUAAAAAAAAUAUGAUUAUUUAGAUUUGCAUGCCAUUUUCUUUUCUUUUCUUUAUAUAUAUAUAAUAUUUGCUUACUGACUUUGUGAUGGUUGCUCGGUUGUUGGUCGUUUAUGGUACGGACCUAUGAAAUUCAGUACAAGAAAUUUAGAAUUCCACAAUAAUGGCAGCAAAUAACUUUCAGCAAGGCAAGAUGGAAAAAGCAUUUAUUUACCUUUAUUUCUAGAUAGGCUUUCAAGCUUAGCGAAAAGGCCGACAAGAGGUGCAGACCCGG
RNAcentral lists this long non-coding RNA (391 nucleotides) under Gossypium barbadense (sea-island cotton). Its description in RNAcentral is "long non-coding RNA (GBAR_LNC002711)". Lineage: Eukaryota; Viridiplantae; Streptophyta; Magnoliopsida; Malvales; Malvaceae. The record is from RNAcentral.